This 150-nucleotide ribosomal RNA is filed under the name Pectobacterium carotovorum. RNAcentral's name for it is "partial 23S ribosomal RNA". The stretch from base 1 to 132 matches the Rfam family "Bacterial large subunit ribosomal RNA", at positions 2799 to 2925 of the family's 2925-position model. The record is from RNAcentral. Lineage: Bacteria; Pseudomonadati; Pseudomonadota; Gammaproteobacteria; Enterobacterales; Pectobacteriaceae.
UCGAGAUGAGUCUUCCCUGGACACUAGAUGUCCCUGAAGGGCCGUUGAAGACGACGACGUAGAUAGGCUGGGUGUGUAAGCGUAGCGAUACGUUGAGCUAACCAGUACUAAUGACCCGAGAGGCUUAACCUUACAACACCGAAGGUGUUU